CUUUUUAAGUUUUACUUCUCAAAUACCUGAAGAAAUUAUUGAAGAUUUCAUGUCUUCCCAUUCACUUUUUCUGAAGAAGGGAUUUCUGAAAAUCUGUAAAUGAUUAUUUAGUGCUGAUGUAUGAUAGUUAUUGUUUAGUUAUGUUUUGUAGAAGCUUUUUGUUUAUCCAAGUCAGUUUUAAUUGGUUCUAGAAUGUGUUUGCUAAUUUUUAUUAGUUAUUUGUUUAGUUUUUGUUAGUUGUAGUAAUUUUGGUUUUGUCAUACUUAGUUACUAUAUUAUGUUUCUGCAUAAAUCAAUUUGGUAAUUAAUACUCAACAUAAGACACCAUUUACAAAAAGGUAUCCAGUUAUUGCUGAACAAACUGACUGGUGUUUUCUCCCAACCUUUGCCGUCGACAUUUUGCAGACUAGCAUAUGUGCUGCCAAUAGGCCUAUACAAGAAAAAGCACAAAAUCUCCAAGACAUUCACUCAAAGAGUUGCUGAAUGAUUAAUUAAGUGCAAGUUAAUUCAGACUGGCACACAAGUUGCAAAAGGAAGAUCCAAAGCUCUGAUGAUAAGCAAUUAAAAAACUGAAGGUUAAACCAGGGUGUGGCAAACCAUAAACUACACAUGGAGCAGCCUGAUGCAAAUAUCUAUGCAUCUGCAACCAAAACUAUCCUAUGAAAGUUAUCAGAAUCCUGUUUGCAAAACUCUUGCCUGUGUAUACAAAACUAUGUGAACAACAUCAACUCACUCUUGUGGCCUCAGCAUCUCUGGAAUCAUGAGACAAAUUCAGUUUCUCUUGAAGGAAUGAAUUCAAACCACUGGCAAACAAACUUUUCACACAACCAUCGAUCACUGACAAAUUCUCAGACUUGAUUAGAAAUGAUUAACAAAGUAGUUCAACUUUACAGUCUUACUACUGACAAAAUCAAUAUAUUUAAUAACAACAUGGGAAUAAAAAUCAGAUUAAUGAGCGGAUGAAGAAACAGGAUGCGGAAAGGACAGGUUGAAGGGCAAAGAAGCCAAUGAGCACCAGAAGCUCUGAAUUCAAUUAUUCUGGAUCCACACUGUCCAACAUGUGGCAGACUCAAAACAGUAAAGCAACAAAAUAAGAAUAUCACAGCAUAAAAUCAGCAAACCAUGAAACAAGCAUGCAAUAGAAAGACAAUUUACAAUAGCCUUUAAUUUAAACGCCUAAGUAAGAUGGAACAGUCUUACUUUGCAUUGAAGUCAGUCAAGUCAACCGCAAUGUCCAAAACUCCCAAAAUUGAAAAAGGAAAAAACCUUGUUCUCUUCAAGCAUUAGGCGUAAAGCUGGUGUCCCAGCUGCAAGUUCUCAGCAGAAUCUCUAGUACUUUAGGUUGGAAAACCGAGGAAAGUACUCUUCUUGUCGAGGAAUGGAGAGGUUGCUAAGGUAGGUCUCCACAGGUAGACGACUGAAGAGACAUUCAUGUCUACGGGAAUGCAGCAACAUGGGUUAACGCAGACCACUUUCUAGAAGUUCUCCAGUGAACACUGUGAAGGUUUGAAACAAAUCAUCUCCCUGACCAACAGGUUAGAAGAAAAAGGUUCAGAGCUCUUGUGCCUCCAUUGGGUUAUUCCUGGAGCACUAGGAAGACAAACCUGGAAAAACUUGACACCAAAUCCCUAAACUGAACUAAGAAUUUUGUGAAGCGUCCCAACUCUAAUAGUCAUAACUACAAAAACACAUUGUUCCUUCUUUAUUUCCAAUUUAACAUUAAAAAACUAUAGAUGCGCAAAGAAGUUAAAGUGUGACAAGAACUUGUCAAUCUUCAGCUUGAUCAGCCCUGACCGCUUUCCAAAAACUCAAAAAUUAGAUGUUUUCCAAUCAGUAAACACUCUAUAGCUAGACGCCACAGGAUUCUUUAGUUUUUAUUGGGGCUGAAAUGAUUAAUCGUAUAAAAGGACACAAUCAGAGAAGCAA
Molecule: long non-coding RNA, 1926 nt
Organism: Poecilia latipinna (sailfin molly)
Lineage: Eukaryota; Metazoa; Chordata; Actinopteri; Cyprinodontiformes; Poeciliidae
Exons: 3
Source: RefSeq, a predicted model, not a curated record